This 253-nucleotide ribosomal RNA is filed under the name uncultured bacterium. Its description in RNAcentral is "partial 16S ribosomal RNA". It matches the Rfam family "Bacterial small subunit ribosomal RNA", at positions 524 to 776 of the family's 1533-position model. The record is from RNAcentral.
UACGUAGGUGGCAAGCGUUAUCCGGAUUUAUUGGGUGUAAAGGGCGUGUAGGCGGGAAUGCAAGUCAGAUGUGAAAACUCAGGGCUCAACCCUGAUCCUGCAUUUGAAACUGUAUUUCUUGAGUGCUGGAGAGGCAAUCGGAAUUCCGUGUGUAGCGGUGAGAUGCGUAGAUAUACGGAGGAACACCAGUGGCGAAGGCGGAUUGCUGGACAGUAACUGACGCUGAGGCGCGAAAGCGUGGGGAGCAAACAGG